RNAcentral lists this small RNA (667 nucleotides) under Pongo abelii (Sumatran orangutan). Its description in RNAcentral is "retained intron". Lineage: Eukaryota; Metazoa; Chordata; Mammalia; Primates; Hominidae. The record is from RNAcentral.
GGUUGUUUUAAAUGUCGUCUGUGGGGAAAGCUUCAGGUAAGCAAAUCUAGUCAUUCCUAUUUCUCAUUUACCCUUUGCAUGAAUAAUUUUCUAAUUUUUCUUUUUUUAUUUCUGUUAUAGACUCAGGGUUUGGGCACUGCUCUGAAGAUCUUGUUUUCUGAGAAAUUGAUAGCAAAUAUGCCAGAAAGUGGACCUAGUUAUGAAUUCCAUCUAACCAGACAAGAAAUAGUAUCAUUAUUCAACGCAUUUGGAAGAAUUUCUACAAGUGUGAAAGAAUUAGAAAACUUCAGGAACUUGUUACAGAAUAUUCAUUAAAGAAAACAAGCUGAUAUGUGCCUGUUCUGGACAAUGGAGGCCAAAGAGUGGAAUUUCAUUCAAAGGCAUAAUAGCAAUGACAGUCUUAAGCCAAACAUUUUAUAUAAAAUUGCUUUUGUAAAGGAGAAUUAUAUUGUUUUAAGUAAACACAUUUUUAAAAAAUUGUGUUGUCUAUGUAUAAUACUACUGUGAGUAAAAGUAAUACUUUAAUAAUGUGGUACAAAUUUUAAAGUUAAAUAUUGAAUAAAAGGAGGAUUAUCAAAUUCAUAUAUGAUAAAAGUGAAUGUUCUAAGUCUCUCAAACUAGCAUUUUGUGUAAUAAUAUGUAAUAUAAAUAAAACUAUGGUAAAUGU